GUGCUCGCUUCAGCAGCACACAUACUAAAAUCGGAGUGAUACAGAGAAGAUUAUUAGCAUGGCCCUGCACAAGGAUGACACGCAAAUUCGUGAAGCGUUCCAUAUAUUU
Saimiri boliviensis boliviensis (Bolivian squirrel monkey) is the source of this 109-nucleotide small nuclear RNA. Lineage: Eukaryota; Metazoa; Chordata; Mammalia; Primates; Cebidae. The record is from RefSeq and is a predicted model, not a curated record.